RNAcentral lists this ribosomal RNA (378 nucleotides) under uncultured bacterium. Its description in RNAcentral is "bacterial SSU rRNA". It matches the Rfam family "Bacterial small subunit ribosomal RNA", at positions 521 to 896 of the family's 1533-position model. The record is from RNAcentral.
UAAUACGAGGGGUGCAAGCGUUAUUCGGAUUAAUUGGGCGUAAAGGGUGUGCAGACGGUUUAUUAAGUCACUUGUUAAAUUCUUCGGCCUAACUGAAGGUAUGCAGGUGAUACUGGCAAACUAGAGGGUGGAAGAGAGAAGUGGAAUUCUCGGAGUAGCGGUAAAAUGCGUAGAUCUCGAGAGGAACACCAAUGGCGAAGGCAGCUUCUUGGUCCAUUCCUGACGUUCAUACACGAAAGCGUGGGGAGCAAACAGGAUUAGAUACCCUGGUAGUCCACGCUGUAAACGAUGAUCACUGGACGUUAGUUCUGUUUAACAGAAUUAGUGUCGUAGCUAACGCGUUAAGUGAUCCGCCUGGGAAUUACGGUCGCAAGACUA